CCUACGGGAGGCUGCAGUGAGGAAUAUUGGUCAAUGGGCGCGAGCCUGAACCAGCCAAGUAGCGUGAAGGAUGACUGCCCUAUGGGUUGUAAACUUCUUUUAUAAAGGAAUAAAGUUAAGCAUGUAUACUGUUUUGUAUGUACUUUAUGAAUAAGGAUCGGCUAACUCCGUGCCAGCAGCCGCGGUAAUACGGAGGAUCCGAGCGUUAUCCGGAUUUAUUGGGUUUAAAGGGAGCGUAGACGGGUUUUUAAGUCAGUUGUGAAAGUUUGCGGCUCAACCGUAAAAUUGCAAUUGAUACUGGCAGUCUUGAGUACAGUAGAGGUAGGCGGAAUUCGUGGUGUAGCGGUGAAAUGCUUAGAUAUCACGAAGAACUCCGAUUGCGAAGGCAGCUUACUAAACUGCCACUGACAUUGAUGCUCGAAAGUGUGGGUAUCAAACAGGAUUAGAUACCCGUGUAGUC
RNAcentral lists this ribosomal RNA (460 nucleotides) under uncultured bacterium. RNAcentral describes it as "partial 16S ribosomal RNA". It matches the Rfam family "Bacterial small subunit ribosomal RNA", at positions 338 to 795 of the family's 1533-position model. The record is from RNAcentral.